UACGAAGGGGGCUAGCGUUGCUCGGAAUCACUGGGCGUAAAGGGUGCGUAGGCGGGUCUUUAAGUCAGGGGUGAAAUCCUGGAGCUCAACUCCAGAACUGCCUUUGAUACUGAAGAUCUUGAGUUCGGGAGAGGUGAGUGGAACUGCGAGUGUAGAGGUGAAAAUUCGUAGAUAUUCGCAAGAACACCAGUGGCGAAGGCGGCUCACUGGCCCGAUACUG
Molecule: ribosomal RNA, 220 nt
Filed under: uncultured bacterium
Lineage: Bacteria
Description: partial 16S ribosomal RNA
Rfam family: Bacterial small subunit ribosomal RNA
Source: RNAcentral